UCACUAUGAACUGGUGACUAUGAUGAAGUGAUGUGACAUUUUUAUUGUCCCCGGUGGUGGCAAUUUUGAGUUUGUUAGUUCACUGACUUCAUUCAAUAUAUUGAGCACAUGCUGUGUGUGUGAAUCAUAUAUAUUCAACCUUCGAAGGAACAGUGAGUUCUAGUCACUGUUAUAGGCCCUGAGGAUAUAGAGAUGCAGAGACAUGGUGCCUCCCCCAAGACCUAGUAGAGGGACAGGACAAGAACAAAUUCCUUCAUUUUACAAGGGAUGGAAUGACUGUACGUUUCGCUUGACUGACUUGCCUAACUCACCAAGCUAGUCACCUCAUUGUCCAAGAUGGCUGCUGGAACAAAAUCACAUCUGCAUUCCAGGCUGGCAGCAGGAAGAAACAGGACAGCAAAAAAGGGCUCAUGUUUUCUGCUUUCUACUUACCUGUCAUGACCCAGAUCUUUUAAACAUUACCAUAUUCAGCUGUAAGAAGGCUAGGACAUGCAGUCUUUUAGCUGGGUUCAUCGCUAUCUCAAAUAAUAUCAGGGUUCUUUUACAACGAAAGUAGAAAGAAAUGUUUAUUGGGUGACAUUCGGCAAUCUCUGUCACAGAGGUCUAGAUUCCUGCCUUCUCUUCCCAGAAAUGCUGUUAUCCAGAUUUUUUUUUAAAACCUUUUCCUUUUACUAUUAGAUUUUCUGGGAAUGAGAAGGAUACUACUUUUUUAUUUAGAGGUCUCUUACUUGGCAACCCCAAGUUUUCAUAACACAGUCUGAGAACUGAGAAUAGAAUAAAUGAGUCUAUACUAUACUGGAGCCUCUUCACUGCUUUUCCAUUUAUUUGCAUAUUUCACUCCAAUCCUCCCUACACAGUGUGGCAAGAUUAAGUUUUCUGAAGCAUUUUUCACAUCAUGCUAUUUCAUUUGUCAAGAAUAUUAAUUAAUCCCUCAUAGCCUACUGAACAUUCACAAAUGUCCACCAAGCAUUCAAAGUGCUCUUGCAUUUUUACCAAAAGCAACAUUUCCAAGCAUACUUCCCAUACCAUAUGCUUUAGCCAAAUGGGACCUAACCCCUUUGGGAAAUCUAACCCCUGUGUUUUUAUUCAAGUUGCUUUACUUUUUAGAAUUCUAGCUGUGCACCUACAUGGGCCAGUGAAACCUACAGAGGAUACAAGGAUUUCUUGAGUUCCAGUCACCUCUCAACACUAUCCUUUGAUGAGACAUCCUAAGACUCAACUCUUUAAAUAUUACAUUACACAUUUUAUGCUUAAAGGGCAUGUUGUGAACAUAAGGAAUAGCAAGAAGGACAUUAGGAAGGGAAAAACGAAGGGGGGGAACCGGAGGGGGAGACGAACCA
This is a long non-coding RNA of Zalophus californianus (California sea lion), 1340 nucleotides long. RefSeq lists it as uncharacterized. The transcript is spliced from 4 exons. The record is from RefSeq and is a predicted model, not a curated record. NCBI's taxonomy places the organism in Eukaryota, Metazoa, Chordata, Mammalia, Carnivora, Otariidae.